This 19-nucleotide unclassified non-coding RNA is filed under the name synthetic construct. RNAcentral's name for it is "RNA (5'-R(*GP*GP*UP*AP*AP*CP*UP*GP*UP*UP*AP*CP*AP*GP*UP*UP*AP*CP*C)-3') from synthetic construct (PDB 6SX0, chain D)". The record is from RNAcentral.
GGUAACUGUUACAGUUACC